RNAcentral lists this transfer RNA (81 nucleotides) under Bacillus velezensis. RNAcentral describes it as "tRNA-Asn (GTT) (tRNA-Asn-GTT-4-1)". It matches the Rfam family "tRNA", at positions 8 to 63 of the family's 71-position model. From Rfam's summary of the family: Transfer RNA (tRNA) molecules are approximately 80 nucleotides in length. Their secondary structure includes four short double-helical elements and three loops (D, anti-codon, and T loops). The record is from RNAcentral. Lineage: Bacteria; Bacillati; Bacillota; Bacilli; Caryophanales; Bacillaceae.
GUAGCUCAGUGGUAGAGCUAUCGGCUGUUAACCGAUCGGUCCAUGGUAAGGAAGAGGUCAGCGGUUCGAGCCCGCUUGGAA